Molecule: long non-coding RNA, 835 nt
Organism: Trifolium pratense (red clover)
Lineage: Eukaryota; Viridiplantae; Streptophyta; Magnoliopsida; Fabales; Fabaceae
Exons: 2
Source: RefSeq, a predicted model, not a curated record
ACCACCUCAGCAAGAAGUUAAUGACAGAACUUGGGAUGAUUAUCGGUCCAGGAAUUGACAAAGAUCUGAAAGACGUACAACAUACAGGAGUGACAUUGUUCAUGCCAGAGAAUGCCGCGUAUGGGAAGCUAUCUAAUUCACGUUCAUGUCACCUCAAAUUACUUCCGAUAAGGGAUAAAACAACUCUGAUACAAGCUCAUAUAUGCCGAGGGUAUUACAAUCUCCAUACACUCCAAUCCGCAAAGAUUCCGAGCCAAAUGACCCUGGCAGUGAAGACAAGAAAGCACCCAGCUUUCUUCUUAACAUCUCUUCGAUCAACGGUUCAGUGGUUGUAAUUAGCACCGGAGUUGUUGAAGCAGUUAUCACUCGGACCGUGUUUGAUCACUAUCCUAUUGUGAUUUAUGCGGUUUCCAAGGUUUUACUGCCAAAAGAGCUGUUUGGUACCAUACCUGAUAAUGAUGCUCCUCCUCCUCUUUGUGUGUGAUGAUUAUUCGUUCGGAUAGCUGCUUCCGCAGCUUUCUCCUCCCCAUUUCACCUCAGAUGUCUCUCAGGGUUGGAAGAAGGCUUCAGUUUUUAUGUGGAGGUGGUGCGAUGACAAAUGUUUAUGAGUUUUGUGACGUUGAUUUGAAAGAUAGCAUACAAGGUGUUUAUACUUAAGCUUAAUCAAUAAUCUUUACAAGCGAGCAUAUAAAAAUACAACCUGUAGAUUCCCUCUGGUUUCACUUAUUCACCAUUUUCGUUUUAAAUUUUAAUCAUGUGUGCUUCACAUUGAUUGCUGCAUCUCUUAUUUCUCUGAAAUUCAGAAGCUAAAUCAGCGCAUUUUGCGCUUCUACUA